UACGGAGGGAGCAAGCGUUACUCGGAAUUACUGGGCGUAAAGGGCGCGUAGGCGAUCUAUUAAGUCUUGUGUGAAAUCCCAGGGCCUAACCCUGGAAUGGCAUGGGAAACUGAUAGGUUAGAGUGCAGGAGAGGAAGGCAGAAUUCCCGGUGUAGCGGUGAAAUGCGUAGAUAUCGGGAGGAAUACCAGUGGCGAAGGCGGCCUUCUGGACUGCAACUGACGCUGAGGCGCGAAAGCUAGGGGAGCAAACGGG
This 253-nucleotide ribosomal RNA is filed under the name uncultured bacterium. RNAcentral describes it as "partial 16S ribosomal RNA". It matches the Rfam family "Bacterial small subunit ribosomal RNA", at positions 524 to 776 of the family's 1533-position model. The record is from RNAcentral.